RNAcentral lists this RNase P RNA (392 nucleotides) under Sandaracinus sp. RNAcentral describes it as "RNase P RNA component class A". It matches the Rfam family "Bacterial RNase P class A". Rfam says of the family: Ribonuclease P (RNase P) is a ubiquitous endoribonuclease, found in archaea, bacteria and eukarya as well as chloroplasts and mitochondria. The record is from RNAcentral. Lineage: Bacteria; Pseudomonadati; Myxococcota; Polyangiales; Sandaracinaceae.
UCGGAGGGUCGCCGGUGAACGGUGGCCCGAGCGUUCGCGCUCGGUGUUCAUCGAUCACGGGAGGAAAGUCCGAGCUCCGCAGGGCAGGGUGCCAGGUAACGCCUGGUGGGGGCGACCCCGAGGAAAGUGCCACAGAGAGUAGACCACUUCGCCGCCUUCGGGCCGCGGAGCAAGGGUGAAAGGGUGCGGUAAGAGCGCACCGGGCCCCCGGCAACGGGGGUCGCAUGGUAAACCCCACCCGGAGCAAGAUCGAAUAGGGAAGCGUUCGAGGGCGGCCCGCCCGAGCUUCCGGGUUGUAUCGCUCGAGGCCUCUGGCGACGGGGGCCCUAGACGAAUGAUCCUCACCGCGACUCCGGCGACGGACCGCGGAACAGAACUCGGCUUAUGAGCCC